UUUUAGCCCUGAUGGGAGCGGCAUCCUUUUUCUUGCUUUUUUGUAGGAAAAAGAUAAAGCAGACAGCAGGAAACAGC
This 77-nucleotide small RNA is filed under the name Flavobacterium frigidimaris. RNAcentral's name for it is "Flavo-1 RNA". It matches the Rfam family "Flavo-1 RNA". Lineage: Bacteria; Pseudomonadati; Bacteroidota; Flavobacteriia; Flavobacteriales; Flavobacteriaceae. The record is from RNAcentral.